This 1924-nucleotide long non-coding RNA is filed under the name Drosophila guanche. Lineage: Eukaryota; Metazoa; Arthropoda; Insecta; Diptera; Drosophilidae. The record is from RNAcentral.
CGUACUAUUAUUGAAAUUGUCAUUUUUAGCCUUUUUAGCAAAGGGUAUUUAGAAGCAUUCUUAUCUUUUUGAUCAGCAAGAGUUGACCUAACAGAAUAUACAUAUUUCGAUUUUGUCACUUAGAAAUUGUCAAACGAACUAAUCGUGGUUCGACGGUACGCUUGUCAAUCGGUAUGUUUUCCAGAGCUGCUUCGGGUAACUAAUUGUGUCUGAGUUUGUGCGAAUGAGCGACGUCAGCGUCUUGAUCGCUGCCUUCACCAUUAAUCACAACAAAUCCAUGAUCGUCAAUGUGCUCCUGGCCAUUGCCCAGCUUGCUCAGCGUGGACAUAGCGGACUACGCCGGAUACGAUGCCAACGUCGCUGCUUAGACUACCACUGAGACUGUUAUCAUCGCUAAGAUCACGGAUGUCAACAUUUUGAGAGGUGGGCCUCUGCUUGGGCCUACAUCUCGAUGCCGGUGACCAAAUGGAGGGCAGAGUAGGAACAGUUUGCUGUUCUCCUUCUGAAAAAUGUAUGGGAGGAGAAGACACAGAAGAAAAUUCACAACGGCGAAACCUGACGAGAAAAUCGACUUACCAGACAAAGUUUCCAGAUAGAGCCGAUAGAGGCCGUUGUCGGAACUCACAGAUUUUUGUGUCUCACCACAAGCGACAUCUGGUUUUUUGUUUUGCUAUUUUUGGGACUGGGUGUUUUGCCAAAUGAGACAGGCAAUUUUAGGAAAAUCGACGGUAAGUUUAUGAAUUGGAGGUGCCGCAAUCGUUGAGCAGGUGAAUGGGAUUAUGGAAAGUGAAUCUCUUAGAGGUUAAUUAUGGUAGGUACAUUGGUAUAUUUCUUUCCCGUUGCAUCAUCAAUCAAGUAAUCCUCAUAGUUUCUAUGCAUUCCACCAGAAAGGCUGUAGCAUAUGCGCUAUUUUAGGCCAGGGCCAUGACCACAAUGGAUAAUUCUCCAAAUGAACACCAUGAACCCAUUAAUAAUUGUAGGUUCUUAUUGACUAGACGUUUUCUUGUUUUUGUCUUUGGAUCCUAAUGAUGACAUCUAUGGAUAUCCUAAAAUUAAUGUCAUCCAUUGCCAAAUUUAUAGUACAUAUAUUGCUGCUGUUGUUCUCGCCAGCACAACAAACAUAAAUUAAUUAGCAUAACAAGAUUUUAAGACUUCAAUUGAUCAGCUUUUUGUAUUUUUAAACAAAUACAAAACAAGACCAAGGAGUUUAUAUGAAUUAGUCUUUGAAGAAAAGUAUUUAUUCACAUCGUAACUUGAAGAUCUUGGAUUCUCUUUAGAUGACCAAAGCGUAGCUUUAAACCUUUAUAUAAUAAUCAUAACACAGUAUGCAAGGGUGAAAUUAUUGUGAAUGAAAAGAUGUGUCGACUGUUUAUGGUGCUGCGUAAGAGUGCUAAAAUAAUCCAGUUGAGGUAGUCAACCUUUGCGUUUUUGGGACUGCCUGGAUCAUGACCGCUGAAACUGAACAAUCAACCUUGUUAGGCGGAAGACCAAGAGCUGUAACCCAACCCGCGAGGAGUACAAAAUAUAAAGCGCUUUUUCCACAGGUCUGUACUCAUAACCAGUUGAACAAUGAAGCUGCGUUUAUUCCUGCUGAUCUCUGCUCUGACGAUAUUCUUUCAAGGACAAAUUCAAGCUCAAACUCAAGGACAACUCGUGACGGGGCUACGUACACGCCUCGUCCCAGUUCUGGAAAAUGGCCAGAUUCGGGUAGUGAAAUUUCUCGAAAUGGCAAGAACUGACAGAGAGAUGGUGAAGGAGCAAUUCAGUAGAAGACAAAUGAAUCUGGCAAAACCACUAAAGAGUGGCGCUAGGGCCCAAACCGAUUUGCCUAAUUGGCCAAGCAGUUAAUCAGUCAAAUGUUUGUUGUUUAAAAUGAAUUUUUGUUCGAAAUAAAAAGUAUUUGCAUUGCAAGGCAUUUUAAUGG